Molecule: ribosomal RNA, 250 nt
Filed under: uncultured bacterium
Lineage: Bacteria
Description: partial 16S ribosomal RNA
Rfam family: Bacterial small subunit ribosomal RNA
Source: RNAcentral
UACGUAGGGGGCAAGCGUUAUCCGGAUUUACUGGGUGUAAAGGGAGCGUAGGUGGCUAGAUAAGUCAGGUGUGAAAGCCCGGGGCUCAACCCCGGGAUUGCACUUGAAACUAUUUAGCUAGAGUGCAGGAGAGGUAAGUGGAAUUCCUAGUGUAGCGGUGAAAUGCGUAGAUAUUAGGAGGAACACCAGUGGCGAAGGCGACUUACUGGACUGUAACUGACACUGAGGCUCGAAAGCGUGGGGAGCAAAC